CUUAAAUGAAUUGACGGGACCCGCACAAGCAGCGGAGCGUGUGGUUAAUUCGAAGCAACGCGAAGAACCUUACCAGGUCUUGACAUCCCCUGACAACCCGAGAGAUCGGGCGUUCCCCUUCGGGGGACAGGGUGACAGGUGGUGCAUGGUUGUCGUCAGCUCGUGUCGUGAGAUGUUGGGUUAAGUCCCGCAACGAGCGCAACCCUCGACCUUAGUUGCCAGCAUUCAGUUGGGCACUCUAAGGUGACUGCCGGCUAAAAGUCGGAGGAAGGUGGGGAUGACGUCAAAUCAUCAUGCCCCUUAUGACCUGGGCUACACACGUGCUACAAUGGGCGGUACAAAGGGUCGCGAACCCGCGAGGGGGAGCCAAUCCCAAAAAGCCGCUCUCAGUUCGGAUUGCAGGCUGCAACUCGCCUGCAUGAAGCCGGAAUCGCUAGUAAUCGCGGAUCAGCAUGCCGCGGUGAAUACGUUCCCGGGCCUU
Molecule: ribosomal RNA, 481 nt
Filed under: uncultured Anoxybacillus sp.
Lineage: Bacteria; Bacillati; Bacillota; Bacilli; Caryophanales; Anoxybacillaceae
Description: bacterial SSU rRNA
Rfam family: Bacterial small subunit ribosomal RNA
Source: RNAcentral